UACGAAGGGGGCAAGCGUUGUUCGGAAUUACUGGGCGUAAAGGGCGCGUAGGCGGCCGAUCAAGUCAGGCGUGAAAUUCCCGGGCUCAACCUGGGGGCUGCGCUUGAUACUGAUUGGCUUGAAUGCGGGAGAGGAUAGUGGAAUUCCCAGUGUAGAGGUGAAAUUCGUAGAUAUUGGGAAGAACACCGGUGGCGAAGGCGGCUUCCUGGCCCGUAACUGACGCUGAGGCGCGAAAGCGUGGGGAGCAAACAGG
Molecule: ribosomal RNA, 253 nt
Filed under: uncultured bacterium
Lineage: Bacteria
Description: partial 16S ribosomal RNA
Rfam family: Bacterial small subunit ribosomal RNA
Source: RNAcentral